Molecule: ribosomal RNA, 460 nt
Filed under: uncultured bacterium
Lineage: Bacteria
Description: partial 16S ribosomal RNA
Rfam family: Bacterial small subunit ribosomal RNA
Source: RNAcentral
CCUACGGGUGUCAGCAGUGAGGAAUAUUGGUCAAUGGACGAGAGUCUGAACCAGCCAAGUAGCGUGAAGGAUGACUGCCCUAUGGGUUGUCAACUUCUUUUAUAUGGGAAUAAGAGGUGCCACGGUGGUGAUUUUGUAUGUACCAUAUGAAUAAGGAUCGGCUAACUCCGUGCCAUCGGCCGGUGUAAUACGGAGGAUCCGAGCGUUAUCCGGAUUUAUGGGGUUUAAAGGGAUCGUAUGUGGAUUGUUAAGUCAGUUGUGAAAGUUUGCGGCUCAACCGUAAAAUUGCAGUUGAAACUGGCAGUCUUGAGUACAGUAGAGGUGGGCGGAAUUCGUGGUGUAGCGGUGAAAUGCUUAGAUAUCACGAAGAACUCCGAUUGCGAAGGCAGUUCACUGGACUGCAACUGACACUGAGGCUCGAAAGUGUGGGUAUCAAACAGGAUUAGAUACCCUGGUAGUC